CCUACGGGUGGCAGCAGUGGGGAAUAUUGCACAAUGGGGGAAACCCUGAUGCAGCGACGCCGCGUGAAGGAAGAAGUCUUUCGGUAUGUAAACUUCUUUCAUCAGGGAAGAAAAUGGCGGUACCUUACUAAUAAGCACCGGCUAACUACGUGCCAGCAGCCGCUGUAAUACGGAGGGGGCAAGCGUUAUCCGGAUUUACUGGGUGUAAAGGGAGCGUAGGCGGUGCAGUAAGUCAGAAGUGAAAUCCUGGGGCUCAACUCCGGUCCUGCUUUUGAAACUGUUGAACUAGAGUGCAGGAGAGGUAAGUGGAAUUACUAGUGUAGCGGUGAAAUGCGUAGAUAUCAGGAGGAACACCAGUGGCGAAGGCGGCUUACUGGAAUGUAAAUGACGCUGAGGCUCGAAAGCGUGGGGAGCAAACAGGAUUAGAUACCCGGGUAGUC
Molecule: ribosomal RNA, 440 nt
Filed under: uncultured bacterium
Lineage: Bacteria
Description: partial 16S ribosomal RNA
Rfam family: Bacterial small subunit ribosomal RNA
Source: RNAcentral